GGAACCUCUGCGAAUAUCCAGAAAGUGAGGUGCUCAGUUUUCUGAAGAAAAGCAUUCAGUUGAUAUAUAUUUUUAAAACUCUGACCUUUCACGACCUCAGUUUGGAGACCUCGGUAGGGAUGAAAGAAAAUAACUAAAAGGUCAAGCAAGUAAAGAACGCUGAAAGAAUGCUCAGUGCAAGCAUACAACGUGGGGCACGCCUCUGUUCCCAGGGAAGAACCAGUUGGGGGCUGGGGAAACCAGUGUUUUCUGGAGAAAGAGAAACAGCUGCUUAAGCACGAGUGUCUGAAGGAAGUCCUGUUCCCUACUGCCAACCCACGAGGCAUGACCACAGUCCAGUCGCAGGAGCUGCUAUAACAAGAUGACAAGGAGGCAAGACUGAUUCACUACUGAUUAAUGCCUGUUGAUCUUCAACAAUGGGCCAUUCCAACAAAUGCAAGAAAGGAAAAAUCACUAGCCAAUAACAUGGGGAUCCUAUCCUAUAAACAGAAAGGAAUCCCAUGGAAAGAAUUCUAAUUUUAUCUAUUUAAGCAACUAUUGGUUACUCAUGCAGGUUCAGAAACAGAGGGGACUAUGAGUCAAUAAAUGAUGUAAAG
This 596-nucleotide long non-coding RNA is filed under the name Homo sapiens (human). Its description in RNAcentral is "HSALNT0211251". The record is from RNAcentral. Lineage: Eukaryota; Metazoa; Chordata; Mammalia; Primates; Hominidae.